UACGGGGGGAGCAAGCGUUGUUCAGAUUUACUGGGCGUAAAGGGCGCGUAGGCGGUAGCACAAGUCAGUUGUGAAAUCUCCGGGCUUAACUCGGAAAGGUCAACUGAUACUGUGCGACUAGAGUGCAGAAGGGGCAACUGGAAUUCUCGGUGUAGCGGUGAAAUGCGUAGAUAUCGAGAGGAACACCUGCGGCGAAGGCGGGUUGCUGGGCUGACACUGACGCUGAGGCGCGAAAGCCAGGGGAGCGAACGGG
This 253-nucleotide ribosomal RNA is filed under the name uncultured bacterium. Its description in RNAcentral is "partial 16S ribosomal RNA". It matches the Rfam family "Bacterial small subunit ribosomal RNA", at positions 524 to 776 of the family's 1533-position model. The record is from RNAcentral.